UACAGAGGGUGCAAGCGUUAAUCGGAAUUACUGGGCGUAAAGCGUGCGUAGACGGUUACAUAAGUCGGGUGUGAAAGCCCCGGGCUCAACCUGGGAAUUGCAUUCGAGACUGCGUAGCUAGGGUGCGGAAGAGGGAAGCGGAAUUUCCGGUGUAGCGGUGAAAUGCGUAGAGAUGUGGAGGAACACCGAUGGCGAAGGCAGCCUCCUGGGCCAGCACUGACGCUCAUGCACGAAAGCGUGGGGAGCAAACAGG
This 253-nucleotide ribosomal RNA is filed under the name uncultured bacterium. RNAcentral describes it as "partial 16S ribosomal RNA". It matches the Rfam family "Bacterial small subunit ribosomal RNA", at positions 524 to 776 of the family's 1533-position model. The record is from RNAcentral.